RNAcentral lists this microRNA (20 nucleotides) under Corchorus capsularis. RNAcentral describes it as "sRNA CCACVL1_21499". Lineage: Eukaryota; Viridiplantae; Streptophyta; Magnoliopsida; Malvales; Malvaceae. The record is from RNAcentral.
AAAACAAAACCAAAAAAUGU